Molecule: ribosomal RNA, 305 nt
Filed under: uncultured bacterium
Lineage: Bacteria
Description: bacterial SSU rRNA
Rfam family: Bacterial small subunit ribosomal RNA
Source: RNAcentral
CCUACGGGGCGCAGCAGUGGGGAAUAUUGGGCAAUGGGCGCAAGCCUGACCCAGCAACGCCGCGUGAAGGAAGAAGGCUUUCGGGUUGUAAACUUCUUUUCUCAGGGACGAAGCAAGUGACGGUACCUGAGGAAUAAGCCACGGCUAACUACGUGCCAGCAGCCGCGGUAAUACGUAGGUGGCAAGCGUUAUCCGGAUUUACUGGGUGUAAAGGGCGUGUAGGCGGGGAGGCAAGUCAGAUGUGAAAACCACGGGCUCAACCCUUGGCCUGCAUUUGAAACUGUGUUUCUUGAGUACUGGAGAGG